GAAGGUGUACUGUGAGGUAUGCUGGAGGUAUCAGAAGUGCGAAUGCUGACAUAAGUAACGAUAAUGCGGGUGAAAAACCCGCACGCCGGAAGACCAAGGGUUCCUGUCCAACGUUAAUCGGGGCAGGGUGAGUCGACCCCUAAGGCGAGGCUGAAAAGCGUAGUCGAUGGGAAACGGGUUAAUAUUCCCGUACUGGUGGUAACUGCGAUGGGGGAACGGAGAAGGCUAGGUUGUCCGGGCGACGGUCGUCCCGGUUCAAGCAUGUAGGCAGAGUGAUUAGGCAAAUCCGGUCACUUAAUGCUGAGGUGUGAUGACGAACCACUAAGGUGGUGAAGCAAUUGAUGCCCUGCUUCCAGGAAAAGCCUCUAAGCUUCAGGUUACCAACAAUCGUACCCCAAACCGACACAGGUGGUCAGGUAGAGAAUACUCAGGCGCUUGAGAGAACUCGGGUGAAGGAACUAGGCAAAAUGGUGCCGUAACUUCGGGAGAAGGCACGCUGGCGGUAAGUGAAGUCCCUCGCGGACGGAGCCGAAGCCAGUCGAAGAUACCAGCUGGCUGCAACUGUUUAUUAAAAACACAGCACUGUGCAAACACGAAAGUGGACGUAUACGGUGUGACGCCUGCCCGGUGCUGGAAGGUUAAUUGAUGGGGUUAUCCUUAGGGAGAAGCUCUUGAUCGAAGCCCCAGUAAACGGCGGCCGUAACUAUAACGGUCCUAAGGUAGCGAAAUUCCUUGUCGGGUAAGUUCCGACCUGCACGAAUGGCGUAAUGAUGGCCAGGCUGUCUCCACCCGAGACUCAGUGAAAUUGAACUCGCUGUGAAGAUGCAGUGUACCCGCGGCAAGACGGANUCCACCCGAGACUCAGUGAAAUUGAACUCGCUGUGAAGAUGCAGUGUACCCGCGGCAAGACGGAAAGACCCCGUGAACCUUUACUAUAGCUUGACACUGAACAUUGAGCCUUGAUGUGUAGGAUAGGUGGGAGACUAUGAAGUGUGGACGCCAGUCUGCAUGGAGUCAACCUUGAAAUACCACCCUUUAACGUUUGAUGUUCUAACCUAGGCCCGUAAUCCGGGUCGGGGACCGUGUCUGGUGGGUAGUUUGACUGGGGCGGUCUCCUCCUAAAGAGUAACGGAGGAGCACGAAGGUUGGCUAAGCAUGGUCGGACAUCAUGCGGUUAGUGCAAAGGCAUAAGCCAGCUUGACUGUGAGAGUGACGGCUCGAGCAGGUACGAAAGUAGGUCUUAGUGAUCCGGUGGUUCUGAAUGGAAGGGCCAUCGCUCAACGGAUAAAAGGUACUCCGGGGAUAACAGGCUGAUACCGCCCAAGAGUUCAUAUCGACGGCGGUGUUUGGCACCUCGAUGUCGGCUCAUCACAUCCUGGGGCUGAAGUAGGUCCCAAGGGUAUGGCUGUUCGCCAUUUAAAGUGGUACGCGAGCUGGGUUUAGAACGUCGUGAGACAGUUCGGUCCCUAUCUGCCGUGGGCGUUGGAAGAUUGAGAGGGGUUGCUCCUAGUACGAGAGGACCGGAGUGAACGCACCACUGGUGUUCGGGUUGUCAUGCCAAUGGCAUUGCCCGGUAGCUAAGUGCGGAAGAGAUAACCGCUGAAAGCAUCUAAGCGGGAAACUUGCCUCGAGAUGAGUCUUCCCUGUCACCU
This 1652-nucleotide ribosomal RNA is filed under the name Proteus terrae. Its description in RNAcentral is "partial 23S ribosomal RNA". It matches the Rfam family "Bacterial large subunit ribosomal RNA", at positions 1252 to 2823 of the family's 2925-position model. The record is from RNAcentral. Lineage: Bacteria; Pseudomonadati; Pseudomonadota; Gammaproteobacteria; Enterobacterales; Morganellaceae.